UACAGAGACUGCAAGCGUUAUUCGGAUUCACUGGGCGUAAAGGGUGCGCAGGCGGCCAAGUGUGUGAGGCGUGAAAGCCCGGGGCUUAACCCCGGAAUUGCACCUCAAACUACAUGGCUAGAGCAUUGGAGAGGGUAGCAGAAUUCAUGGUGUAGCAGUGAAAUGCGUAGAUAUCAUGAGGAAUACCAGAGGCGAAGGCGGCUACCUGGACAAUUGCUGACGCUCAGGCACGAAAGUGUGGGGAGCGAACAGG
RNAcentral lists this ribosomal RNA (253 nucleotides) under uncultured bacterium. RNAcentral's name for it is "partial 16S ribosomal RNA". It matches the Rfam family "Bacterial small subunit ribosomal RNA", at positions 524 to 776 of the family's 1533-position model. The record is from RNAcentral.